AAAAAAAAAAUUGUGGAAUCCAACUUUCAUGUUAAAGUACGAGGUGACUCCUAGGAUCUUGGAGGCCAAGGUUAAUUUAUGCACCUACAAUGGCAUGGGGAGAACACCUCGAUGUGGUCAUCUUAGGGUUGCUUUAUAUUGUUAGGGACAAGCAUAGAGCAACUUCACUUAAUUCUUUCCAUAAAAAAAUAUAAAAUAUAUAAAUAAAUCUAUCUUAUCCUAUAAGCUUAAGCUUUUAGGAUAAGUAGUAAUUUCAACAUGGUAUCAGAAAGUUCGAACCCUGUCUCCGCACUCUUUAACUUUAUUAUUAAAAAAUUUCACAUGUUGGGCUCGUCCAUUAAAAGAAAAAUCCAGCCCACAUAUGAGGGGAAGUAUAAGAAAAUAUAAAAUAUAUAAAUAAAUCUACCUCAUCCUAUAAGUUUAAACU
Molecule: long non-coding RNA, 427 nt
Filed under: Phoenix dactylifera (date palm)
Lineage: Eukaryota; Viridiplantae; Streptophyta; Magnoliopsida; Arecales; Arecaceae
Description: long non-coding RNA (PDAC_LNC003566)
Source: RNAcentral